GACGAACGCUGGCGGCGUGCUUAACACAUGCAAGUCGAACGGUGAAGCGAGUGCUUGCACUCGUGGAUCAGUGGCGAACGGGUGAGUAACACGUGAGUAACCUGCCCAUCACUCUGGGAUAAGCACUGGAAACGGUGUCUAAUACUGGAUACGACCAACCCUUGCAUGGGGUGUUGGUGGAAAGAUUUAUCGGUGAUGGAUGGACUCGCGGCCUAUCAGCUUGUUGGCGGGGUAAUGGCCCACCAAGGCGACGACGGGUAGCCGGCCUGAGAGGGUGACCGGCCACACUGGGACUGAGACACGGCCCAGACUCCUACGGGAGGCAGCAGUGGGGAAUAUUGCACAAUGGGCGAAAGCCUGAUGCAGCGACGCCGCGUGAGGGAUGACGGCCUUCGGGUUGUAAACCUCUUUCAGCAGGGAAGAAGCGAAAGUGACGGUACCUGCAGAAGGAGCACCGGCUAACUACGUG
Molecule: ribosomal RNA, 469 nt
Filed under: uncultured bacterium
Lineage: Bacteria
Description: partial 16S ribosomal RNA
Rfam family: Bacterial small subunit ribosomal RNA
Source: RNAcentral